UUAUAUUUAAAAAUUGAUUUUAAAAAAUAAAAAGAUUUAUUUAAUUUGUAUUGUGAUAGAUUUUAUAAUAUUUUCUAUAGAAGAGAGUACUGUGAAGGAAGUAAAAUAUUAAUAAUAUUUAAAAAGCAUUAUUAUUACCUUUUGCAUAAGGGUUUAUUUAAAAUUAAAAAAUAUUUUUUAUUCCCGAAACUUAAUGAGCUAUUUUUUUAAAAGUUUUAUGUGUUUUAUAAUAUAAUUGUAUAAAAAAAUAGAAAUGAAAUUUUAUUCAAAUUAAGUGAUAUCUGGUUUUAAUAACUAAAUUAUAUAUUUACAUUAAAGUAUUAAUUUUAAAUUGCUUUAAAUGUGAAGAUUUAUGGGAUAAGCUAUAAUUUUUUUUUAUAAAGUGUUUUUAUUUGUUAGUAAAGGUUUAAAAAUUACUUGGAUUUGUAAUAAAAAAUUUAGAUUUGAAAGAAAGAGUUUAAGAAAAUGGUUAUUUUAUUGAAUAUUUUUUAAAAGAAAUUAUAAUAAAAUUAGUAUAAAGUUUUUAUUAAAUUAAAAGUUUAAUUUAUUUUCAAUGUAAAUUAUUUUAUUUUAAGGAACUCGGCAAAUUAAUUUUUGACUGUUUAUCAAAAACAUUUUAUUUUGAAUUAAUGAAAUAUUUAACCUGCUCAAUGUGAAUUAUAAAUUGCUGUGGUAUUUUGACUAUACGAAGGUAUUGAAAUAAGGUCUUAAAUGGAUGCUAAGAGAAUGGUUGAACAAAGAUUAUCUUUCUUAAAAUAAAUAAUUAAAAGUUGGUUUUUAUGUGCAUAAACAUAAAUAAUAUUUUGGGACAAGAAGACCCUAUGAAUUUUUAUUUUUAAUUUUAUAGAUGGUAUUAUAUUUAAAAAUUUAAUUGGGGUGAUUAUUAAAGAUUGAUAAUCUUUAAAAAUAAUAAGAUGAUCCGUUACUAACGAUUAUAUAAAAAAAAUACUCUAGGGAUAACAGCGUUAUAAUUUUGGAUAGUUCUUAUUGAUAAAAUAGAUUGCGACCUCGAUGUUGGAUUAAGAUUCUUUUUUAAUGUAGCAGUUUUAGUAAGAAGUUUGCUCAACUUUUAAUAUCUUACAUGAUCUGAGUUCAGACCGGCGUAAGCCAGGUUGGUUUCUAUCUUAAUUUUUAAGUAUAUUAUAUUAGUACGAAAGGAAUAUAUAGUAAGGUUUAACCUUUUAUUUUUUCUCUUUAAUUUUA
RNAcentral lists this ribosomal RNA (1203 nucleotides) under Argas sp. San Antonio ARK-2022a. Its description in RNAcentral is "16S ribosomal RNA". Lineage: Eukaryota; Metazoa; Arthropoda; Arachnida; Ixodida; Argasidae. The record is from RNAcentral.